GGAUGUGGCUCAAGUGGUAGGGCGCUCACCUGGCAUGCGCGGGGCGCUGGGUUCGAUCCUCAGAACCA
This 68-nucleotide transfer RNA is filed under the name Marmota monax (woodchuck). RNAcentral's name for it is "tRNA.Ala". Lineage: Eukaryota; Metazoa; Chordata; Mammalia; Rodentia; Sciuridae. The record is from RNAcentral.